CCGUCAUCCUUCAUGUGUUGAAGGCAAAAGAAGUCCCAUGGAAAUUAGGGAUACUGAGGCAGAGGAAGAAGAAAAGCAGGUCAGGUGGUUUAGCACGUGUCUCCGUGGGUUGUGUGAGCAGUCCCAGCACCAAAACCAAGCAGCGAAUUGGUGCUCCUUGUGCAGCUGUGGGUGGUUAAGCAGCAAAGCUCUCAGGGCCCCCUGACUGCCAUAGGGAGUGCUCCCAGCUGCAGCGGGGAGAGAAGCUGGGGCAGGAUGGGUUUGCUGGGGGGGCUUCUGCUGGUCCUGUGGUCCCAAGCAGCAGGCGAUAAUGAGCAGCCUCUUCUCCAGCCACCCAGAAGGAGCUGGUGAGCUCUGGCCCUGCAGCUGCCUGGACAACGUGGGAAAGGUCACCCCAAACCCUGUCUGUGUUACGCCACUUCUGUAUCGUGCCCUGCUCCACAAAGCACUGGUGGAACAGUGGAAGAUGGUAAAUAUAUGCCAAGAUGUGAUGUGUUGCCAAGCAUCAGGAUGAUGUUGAGCCUAUUGGACAAGGACCCAAAUGGACUGCAUGGUGGUUUGAAGCAGGAUUAAAAAACAAAAGUCUGUGCCCCUCUUCUUUGCUAAUUGCCAGGGGAUAUUUGGGGGACUCCACCUAGCCCUGUCUCUGUGAGGAUACAGAGGCUAGGGCAGGAACACUGUCCCUGCGGAGCUGGAGUAAGGUGGAUGCUGUGGUCAUGGUGGUGCCCACCUGUGUGCAUGGGGCUGCCUGGCAGCAAUGGAGUGGUGAUCAGUGGGGUACUAACAUAGUGCAUGGGGAGAGCAGCACCAAACGUGGGGCGGGCUGAGGCUGUGUAUGGUUCCUAGGCUGGGCAGGAACAGUACAGUUACAAGUAAAGUACAUUGUUUAUAAUGUAAAUAUUCUUUUUUUUUAAGGUUUUCCCCAAAGUUCUUCAGUAGUUCUUAUUAGCAAAUAUGACACAUACCAGUCUCCGAAAAGUGGCAGUGAGAGGAGCUAGUGGGAAGAGUACGUAAAUAUGAAUUAUUUAAAAAAACAAAAAACAAACAAAAAACUUUAGAAGUUUAUUCUCUGGCUGUUUCUUGCCAUGGUAUCUGACUAACUAUCAUGUUACCAAAGGAGUGCACAAACCUGCAAGCCUUGCUGUUUGGAGUGUCUUGAUAGGUCUGCUUUUUUUUAUAUUUUAUGGAAAUAGAUACAACUUUGCUAUUAUCAGUCUGAUUCUCUUUUGAAUUUUGAAUUACUUUUUUUUUUUAACUAAUAGUCUGUUUUAUGUAAACCUCUUAGAGAUUAGGAGUUGAUUUCAAAGAUCAUCCUCUAUAAAGUCUCUUGAUCAUAUUUUAUGGUUCCUGUAACUCAUGGGUGUAAUCUCAUAUCCCUGGGAUAUUUAUGACAUGUUCGCCUAAUUCCCCAUGGUAGCUAAUCUCACUUCUCUACCUUAAAAAUAUUAAAAUAUCUUUAAAGCAAGACUGGUAAAAAGGCAACUUUUACAGCCAAUCUUCAGCUCCAAUUGCUCCUGCUGAGGAAGUCAUAAUGAUGAAUUUGUGACAUAAUUUCUGCGGCAACAUGCUGGGAUUUCAUAAAUGGGGAUGGUGAUUAUAGAGCAGGAUCAGGUGAAGCAGGAUUGUGAUGGAAAAAGCCUUGAUUCAAAUGCAAAUUGUUCAAUAAUGGCAUAGGGGAUACCAGAAAUUACUGGCAAUUUAUUUUAUUUGGGUUAAGCUCCUCAUUCAGUCUUCUCCGGUCGGAAAGUCACUCUUUUAAGGAAACAAGCAAAAGAAAUGGCUAGAAAACAAAUCUCUCUCUCUUGAGAGAAUGAAAUUGUUCUAAUUCACUAAUAAUUAAUCUGUUAGUGUAAUUGUCAUUAAUGUUUAGCAUUUCUAUGACUCAUCCUAUUGAAGACUCUCCAAGUGCUUCGCAGACCCUAAUUGAUUCCACCUUCCCUGGAGCAGGAUCCCAUAAUCUACCCCAAUUUCUGGAGACAGCGAGAAGCACGGGCUAGGCACAGAGGCUAAAUGAUUUUCCCAGGGUUGGACCGGGAGCUGGAGUUCAGGUCUACACUUCAUAGACCAGCCUCUACCUAGCUGGGCUUCGGCAGCCGGACGGUGAAUGCUGGCACCACGAGGUGAUGUGAUGCUGGUUGCAGCCUUGGAGCAAAUCUGGCAGCGUUCUGCUGUCUGGCACGAGGAGAGAAAGCUGGUGCAGCUGCCACCAGCCUCAUGGGCACGUGUCAGCAGUGUCACCAGCAGAACUGGCUGCUAGUUGGUUAUUCUUUAUGACAUUAGAAGCAAGCUGGCUUGUUUGGGGUGGCUUUUUUUUUUUUUUUUUUUUUUUUUUUUUCCAAAAUAGCUUGGAAUUUAAACUUUUUAGCUAAGGAUUAAACUAAUUGCUUCUGCAAAAUGCUGUUCCCACACCAUCUAGUGCGCAUCUGUUAAGUGGGGAGGGAUAACUGAACCAGUUGCCAGAUGGUCCCCUGGAUUUGAGUGGCCAGGAGCCAAGGAGCUGCCAGUUGGCGGUUUGUGGGGUUCUAGCAAAGAAGUCACGCUACGUGCACAUUCCCCUCGGUUACUCCUUUCUGCCUUAAUGAAGAUACUGUCUAAUGCAAUAAAGCAGCCAUUAGCCUCCUCCCUGCCCUCCCC
This 2634-nucleotide long non-coding RNA is filed under the name Anas platyrhynchos platyrhynchos (common mallard). Its description in RNAcentral is "lncRNA (ENSAPLG00000026909.1)". Lineage: Eukaryota; Metazoa; Chordata; Aves; Anseriformes; Anatidae. The record is from RNAcentral.